Long non-coding RNA from Lactuca sativa (garden lettuce), 285 nucleotides. RefSeq lists it as uncharacterized. NCBI's taxonomy places the organism in Eukaryota, Viridiplantae, Streptophyta, Magnoliopsida, Asterales, Asteraceae. The record is from RefSeq and is a predicted model, not a curated record.
UUUCAUCGUCGUAUAACAAAAUCAAGCUCCAAAAUUUCAUCGUUGUAGCAAAAAUGGAGCAACUUUUUGGAUUAUCAUCAGAGGAGAUUAAUUCGUGAGCUUGUUUUAGUAAAUACGGCAUAAGAUUUUUCGCUGGAGAUGAAGGUUUAGCAACCAUUCGACUAAUUCGUUUUCUUGUUGUCAUCAUCUAUUACAAUGGUUUCCGAUUAUUCUUUCUCCUCAUUUUUUACUUCGAUGUUUGAAAAUCACAUUGAUCAAGGAACCGUGGUUAGGAAUUGAUUUGUA